Molecule: transfer RNA, 74 nt
Filed under: Actinomycetota bacterium
Lineage: Bacteria; Bacillati; Actinomycetota
Description: tRNA-Ala
Rfam family: tRNA
About the family: Transfer RNA (tRNA) molecules are approximately 80 nucleotides in length.
Source: RNAcentral
GGGGACGUAGCUCAGUUGGCUAGAGCGCCUGCUUUGCACGCAGGAGGGCGAGGGUUCGAGUCCCUUCGUCUCCA